Molecule: ribosomal RNA, 253 nt
Filed under: uncultured bacterium
Lineage: Bacteria
Description: partial 16S ribosomal RNA
Rfam family: Bacterial small subunit ribosomal RNA
Source: RNAcentral
UACGGAGGGGGCUAGCGUUAUUCGGAAUUAUUGGGCGUAAAGGGCGCGUAGGCGGCCUGGCAAGUGGAAGGUGAAAUCCCUCGGCUUAACCGAGGAACUGCCUCCCAAACUGCUUGGCUUGAGACCGGGAGAGGUGAGUGGAAUUCCCAGUGUAGCGGUGAAAUGCGUAGAUAUUGGGAGGAACACCAGUGGCGAAGGCGGCUCACUGGACCGGUACUGACGCUGAUGCGCGAAAGCGUGGGGAGCAAACGGG